This 367-nucleotide long non-coding RNA is filed under the name Carica papaya (papaya). RNAcentral describes it as "long non-coding RNA (CPAP_LNC001425)". The record is from RNAcentral. Lineage: Eukaryota; Viridiplantae; Streptophyta; Magnoliopsida; Brassicales; Caricaceae.
UCAAGCACUUUUGGAUCUUUGGUCUUGGAUGACAUGGGCCUCCUGGAAUUGAAAGAUGACCUCCCGUGAAUUACCCCACAUGGACCUCUUGUGCCACAUGACAAAAGAAUUUACAACAAGCAGCAUGAGUGCCAAACGCAAGUCUCCCUAUCUCCUCAACCACCCAACUUCAAAGAAUUUAUAAACCACACACUACUGCACAUCCACAUGAUAGAUGGACCCUUGUACAACAUGGGGGCUCCUUGAGGGAACUGCAUGAGAAAGUCGAUGCCUUAACACAAUUGAUCGCCUAAACUAGACACUCAAACAUGCAAAUUCACAACAUAUGAACACAUGGGAGUCUUCUUCUCUCUACUUUACUUAAGAG